GUCAGGCAGCCACAUUCCUUUCUGUAUGAGGAUAAUAUUUUAUAGUCAGCCAGAUCAGAGUUCUUCUCCUCUUUUUGGUCUUCUCUUUUCCUUCUUGGUUAGAGACUGUGUUAGAGACUACUCCUAAUUAGAAACGUGUAUGUUUCAGUAGAAACCAUGCCAGAUGUGUGGUGCAGUUCAGUGGAAUGUUAGAGAGCAACUGGUGGUGGCACUUUCAAUUGGGAUUGUAAACGUGACAGAUGGGGGCCGAGGCAACAAGAGCCUGGAAGCAUGAGCCAGUGAUUCUCAGCUCCAAGAAAUGCAGAUGUCCCUUAGUGGGGCAUUUCUUGGUGUGAGGAGACAUUCGCAAACACUCAAGGCACUGUGGGACUUGUGUUACAGCCCUUUCAGGUUGCCAGCCAUGAAGUAUUCCUUACCAGUCUCCCACUGCUGAGUCUUCGUUCAUCUGUCCACCUCCAGGUGAAUCUUUGUUUUUCUAUAAAUAAAUUUAUCUGGUUUACCUUUUCUUUUGUAAAUCUGCCUUACAUUGGCUAGACCUCAAUGAGGUCAGACUUCUUGAAAAUGGAGGCAGUCUCAGC
Molecule: long non-coding RNA, 578 nt
Filed under: Cercocebus atys (sooty mangabey)
Lineage: Eukaryota; Metazoa; Chordata; Mammalia; Primates; Cercopithecidae
Description: lncRNA (ENSCATG00000045870.1)
Source: RNAcentral